AUGGACGAAAGUCUGACGGAGCAACGCCGCGUGAGUGAUGAAGGUUUUCGGAUCGUAAAACUCUGUUGUUAGGGAAGAACAAGUACCGUUCGAAUAGGGCGGUACCUUGACGGUACCUAACCAGAAAGCCACGGCUAACUACGUGCCAGCAGCCGCGGUAAUACGUAGGUGGCAAGCGUUGUCCGGAAUCAUUGGGCGUAAAGCGCGCGCAGGUGGUUCUUUAAGUCUGAUGUGAAAGCCCCCGGCUCAACCGGGGAGGGUCAUUGGAAACUGGGGAACUUGAGUGCAGAAGAGGAAAGUGGAAUUCCACGUGUAGCGGUGAAAUGCGUAGAGAUGUGGAGGAACACCAGUGGCGAAGGCGACUUUCUGGUCUGUAACUGACACUGAGGCGCGAAAGCGUGGGGAGCGAACAGGAUUAGAUACCCUGGUAGUCCACGCCGUAAACGAUGAGUGCUAAGUGUUAGGGGGUUUCCGCCCCUUAGUGCUGCAGCAAACGCAUUAAGCACUCCGCCUGGGGAGUACGG
Molecule: ribosomal RNA, 524 nt
Filed under: uncultured bacterium
Lineage: Bacteria
Description: bacterial SSU rRNA
Rfam family: Bacterial small subunit ribosomal RNA
Source: RNAcentral